CUACAACGAUGCUAACUCAGACGUGAGAGCCAUGUUCCCAUGGUAACCGUCAGUGACACCUACUGACCAGUGCUUCCGGGUAACAAUCAGUGACACCUGCUGACCAGUGGCGCCAAAUGACAGUAGUAAAAAGCCAAAAAACAAACGUGGCUCUUAAUUUGUGGUUUUCGGACAGCAAUAACAAAGUAUGAGUUUUUUGAGACAGAGACAGCAGUGACGACGUUGUCGAUCGACAAAUUUUAUUUGUCCAAGAAAACUAUCCUGAGCGCUGACACCCACAUCAAGAGGCCACAGCAUCUCGACUCUCCCACAGGCCUGUAUGAGACAGACCAACAUACUGAAGAUGCCAAAGGCCAAAUUGUUUUGUCAAGCAUCCAGCCUGGUGGGCUCUGCUGGGGAGCUACGUUUGCAGGACCAGAAUGGAGAAGUAGAUUGAUCACUGUGACCUAAGACCCUUCUGAAGCACUUAUCAGCGGGAAAACAGCCUGUUAGGAGAAGAAAAACAGCUCAGGUCUCUCUUGAGGGAAGAUGAGAAUGUACAGUGGCAUUGUGGUGGGAUUCCCCUGGGUCAGCCGGCAGACCUGUUUGUAAUGGAGGAAAGUAAAGUUACAGUAACUCUGUAGUCCACAAUAAACAUUGUAGGCCCUCUUUACUUUUGAAAAUAUUCAUGCAGCCUAGGUCUAGAGAUGGCCUCUGCAGGAAAUGUAAUGUGCAACAUCUAAUAAUACUACUAUUUCUAUUGUUACUUAUUCUGUUAAUACUACAACUACCACGACUGCUGCUAUUACUGCUACUUCUGCUAGUAUUACUAUGACAACUGACAACAUGACUACUUCUACUAGUAUUAUUACUAUGACUGCAACUACUUCUGCUACUGAGCACUACUACUAUUACUGCAACUGCCGAAAUAAUACUGUUGCAACUUCAAUUACUACUGGAUUUAUCACUACUAUUAAUAUGUAUAUUGCAAAUAAUGCU
Long non-coding RNA from Lates calcarifer (barramundi perch), 978 nucleotides. RefSeq lists it as uncharacterized. The transcript has 4 exons. The record is from RefSeq and is a predicted model, not a curated record. Lineage: Eukaryota; Metazoa; Chordata; Actinopteri; Centropomidae.